GCACCUGCUGUUCUUCCAAGUAUGACUUAACCCUUGGUUACCCUAAUUCUGUAUUCUCCUGCCUCAGUGGGAGGUGAUUGGAUCAUGGGAACGGAUUUCCUCCUUGCUGUUCUCACGCUAGUGAGUGAGUUCUCACGAGAUCCGAGCAUUUAAUAGUGUGUGGCUCCUCCUGCUUCGCUCUCCUGCUGCCAUAGGAAGGUGUGCUUGCUACUCCUUUGCCUUCUGCCAUGAUUGUGAGUUUCCUGAGACCUCCUAGUCAUGCUUCCUGUUCAGCCUGCAGAACUGCUGGAGUGCAAUGGCGUGAUCUCGGCUCACUGCAACCUCUGCCGCCCAGCUUCAAACGAUUCUCCUGCCUCAGCCUCCAGAGUACCUGGGAUUACAGCUUCCAGUAAACUUUUAAAAUGAAAAAGAAGGCAAGAUUAAAUAAUCUCAACUAUGUGACUGCUUAAAUGGGGAAUGAAAUCAAUUCUUCACAUCUAUGGAAAAACAAGUGAGCCAGGGUUGUGAUUCCAACUGGAUAAAGAAUGAACGUGGAAUUAUUAAUGUGAUGUAACAGAGGAAGAAAUAAGUUUAAUUGAUCAAGUAUUUGCUCAGUAUGUACUAGGAGCCUGGAAAUUGAAGAGUUUUAUCUCUUGGAAUUCCUUAAGAAAAACCUUGGCUUAAUAAUUUAAAUGUUUUCAUGUCUGAAGCAGGAAAAUGAAUUAGCUAUUACAGGUGCAUUCUUGUUCUUUGAUGCUUACUUGUUAGGACAUAGGCCACCCUUCACUGCUAGUAAUGUGUUCUUAGACAGAAUUAAAAUUGAGCCCACAUCACAUUCUCACAGCCAAACUUGUAAAUCUAUCCUUUAAAGCUCAAAUUUCUGUUUUGAUUAGAUGCAAAACAUUCAGAUGAUUUAUGAUUGUUUAAUUAAAAGAAAUCAGUGAAAUAAAAACAAAUUAAACUGUUUUAAUUGCUUUUGGGUUCAAUUAAUCAACUAUUGCCUACUUGAUGUAUCUACCAACAUUAACACAAGGAAAUAUAUUCAUUAGUUUCAUUCACUUGCUAUUGAAAUGAGACUU
Molecule: long non-coding RNA, 1058 nt
Filed under: Homo sapiens (human)
Lineage: Eukaryota; Metazoa; Chordata; Mammalia; Primates; Hominidae
Description: HSALNT0345838
Source: RNAcentral